RNAcentral lists this ribosomal RNA (497 nucleotides) under uncultured bacterium. RNAcentral describes it as "partial 16S ribosomal RNA". It matches the Rfam family "Bacterial small subunit ribosomal RNA", at positions 28 to 507 of the family's 1533-position model. The record is from RNAcentral.
GAUGAACGCUGGCGGCGUGCCUAAUACAUGCAAGUCGAGCGAACAGACGAGGUGCUUGCUCUUCUGACGUUAGCGGCGGACGGGUGAGUAGCACGUGGCUAACCUACCUAUAAGACUGGGAUAACUUCGAGAAACCGGAGUUACUACCGGGUAAUAUUUUUACCCGCAUGGUUCAGUAGUGUAAGACGGUUUUGCUGUCACUUAUAGAUGGAUCCGCGCCGCAUUAGCUAGUUGGUAUGGUAACGGCUUACCAAGGCAACGGUGCGUAACCGACCUGAGAGGGUGAUCGGCCACACAGGGACUGAGACACGGUCCAGACUCCUACGGGAGGCAGCAGUAGGGAAGCGUCCGCGAUGUGCGAAAGCCUGACGGAGCAGCGCCGCGUGGGUGAUGAAGGUCUGCGUAUCGUAUGACUCUGUUAUUGUGGUAGAACAAAUGUGUAAGUAACGAUGCACGUCUUGACGGUAGCUAAUCAGAAAGCCACGGCUAACUACGUG